CUGUCAAUUUUUGCUUUUGUGGCAAUUGCUUUUGGUGUCUUCAUCAUGAAAUAUUUGCCCAUUCCUGUGUUCAAACUGGUAUUGCCUAUAUUGUCUUCCAGGGUUUUUAUAGUCUUAAAUUUUACAUUCAAGUCUUUAAUCCAUCUUGAGUUGAUUUUUGUAUAUAGUAUAAAGAAGGGGUUCAGUUUUAAUCUUCAGCCUAUGGCUAGCCAGUUAUCUGAUUACAAUUUAUUGAAAUGGGAGUCCUUUCCCCAACACUUGUUUUUGUUAGCUUUGUCAAAGAUCAGAUGGUUGUAGGUAGGGUGUAUUUCCUCUCAGGCCUCUGUUCUUUCCA
Long non-coding RNA from Sapajus apella (tufted capuchin), 334 nucleotides. RefSeq lists it as uncharacterized. NCBI's taxonomy places the organism in Eukaryota, Metazoa, Chordata, Mammalia, Primates, Cebidae. The record is from RefSeq and is a predicted model, not a curated record. The transcript is spliced from 5 exons.